RNAcentral lists this long non-coding RNA (254 nucleotides) under Capra hircus (goat). Its description in RNAcentral is "lncRNA (ENSCHIG00000007768.1)". Lineage: Eukaryota; Metazoa; Chordata; Mammalia; Artiodactyla; Bovidae. The record is from RNAcentral.
ACAAUGAAGUUUGUGGUUAAGAAAAAAAUUAAAGAAAUUUUAAACAUACUUUAAAAAAAUUUCCAGAUCCCCCUGGAAAUCCUGAGCCAAGAGAAAAUAUUUGGGAAAAGUGACAGAAAUGGCCCUCAUGUGCCAUCCCGGGAAAGAGAGAGGACACUUCUUAGGGUUGCCCAGGGGCACAGUGGCCACCUGCAGCAGACCAGAUGGAUCUGUGCAAAGAACAUCAGCAGAAAGCAGAGCUGACAAGAGGCCAG